This 75-nucleotide transfer RNA is filed under the name Candidatus Saccharimonadota bacterium. RNAcentral describes it as "tRNA-Arg". It matches the Rfam family "tRNA". Rfam says of the family: Transfer RNA (tRNA) molecules are approximately 80 nucleotides in length. Their secondary structure includes four short double-helical elements and three loops (D, anti-codon, and T loops). The record is from RNAcentral. Lineage: Bacteria; Candidatus Saccharimonadota.
GGGCCCGUCGUUCAACGGAUAGGACAUACCCCCUCUAAGGGUACAAUGUUGGUUCGAUUCCAGCCGGGCCUACCA